Molecule: ribosomal RNA, 480 nt
Filed under: uncultured bacterium
Lineage: Bacteria
Description: partial 16S ribosomal RNA
Rfam family: Bacterial small subunit ribosomal RNA
Source: RNAcentral
GACGAACGCUGGCGGCGCGCCUAACACAUGCAAGUCGAGCGAUGAAAUUUUAACCGAUCUCUUCGGAGAGAAGAUAAAAUGGAUUAGCGGCGGACGGGUGAGUAACACGUGAGAAACCGGCCUUUCACAAGGGGAUAGCCUCGGGAAACCGGGAUUAAUACCCUAUGACACAUUUCCUUCGCAUGGAAGAAAUGUUAAAACUCCGGUGGUGAAAGAUGGUCUCGCGCCUGAUUAGCAAGUUGGUGGGGUAACGGCCCACCAAGGCCAUGAUCAGUACCCGGCCUGGGAGGGUGAACCGUCACAUUGGCACUGGGACGCGGUCCAAACUCCUGCGGGAGGCAGCAGUGGGGAAUAUUGCCCAAUGGAGGAAACUCUGAUGCAGCGACGCCGCGUGAGCGAUGAAGGCUUUCGAGUCGUAAAGCUCUGUCCUAUGGGAAGAUAAUGACGGUACCAUAGGAGGAAGCCCCGGCUAACUACGUG